AGUGAGACCCCACGACCCUCGC
RNAcentral lists this unclassified non-coding RNA (22 nucleotides) under Mus musculus (house mouse). RNAcentral describes it as "oocyte_clustered_small_RNA9129". Lineage: Eukaryota; Metazoa; Chordata; Mammalia; Rodentia; Muridae. The record is from RNAcentral.